GACGAACGCUGGCGGCGUGCUUAACACAUGCAAGUCGAACGGAAAGGCCCUGCGUUUGUGGGGUGCUCGAGUGGCGAACGGGUGAGUAACACGUGAGUAACCUGCCCUUGACUUUGGGAUAACUUCAGGAAACUGGGGCUAAUACCGGAUAGGAGCUCCUGCUGCAUGGUGGGGGUUGGUGAGUUUCGGCGGUUGGGGAUGGACUGGCGGCUUAUCCGCUUGUUGGUGGGGUAGUGGAUUACCAAGGCUUGGACGGGAAGCAGGCCUGAGGGGGUGAGAGGCGACACUGGGACGGAGAGACGGCACAGGCUGCGACGGGAGGCAGCAGUGGGGAAUCUUGCCGAAUGGGCGGAAGCCGGAUGCAGCAACGCCGCGUGCGGGAUGACGGCCUUAGGGUUGUAAACCGCUUUCGCCUGUGACGAAGCGUGAGUGACGGUAAUGGGUAAAGAAGCACCGGCUAACUACGUG
This 468-nucleotide ribosomal RNA is filed under the name uncultured bacterium. Its description in RNAcentral is "partial 16S ribosomal RNA". It matches the Rfam family "Bacterial small subunit ribosomal RNA", at positions 28 to 507 of the family's 1533-position model. The record is from RNAcentral.